AUGCGACUAUCAAUUUAUUCAUUCUCAGGAUCUCAAGUCCCACCCUUGGUACCUGGCAAGCUACGAUUGUACAGCAUGCGAUUUUGCCCAUUUGCCCAGAGGGUUCAUCUUGUAUUAGAUGCUAAAAAAAUUCCAUAUGACGUUGUCUACGUUAAUUUAACACACAAGCCGGAAUGGCUGGUGGAAAAAAAUCCAUUGAGUAAAGUUCCGCUGCUUGAACUCAAAGAGGGAAAUAUUUUAUACGAAAGUCUGAUCAUAGUGGAUUACCUGGAUGAGGCCUAUCCGGAACACCGUCUAUAUCCAAAGGAUCCUUUAUUGAAGGCUCAAGAAAAGCUACUUAUCGAAAGAUUUGGUGCUAUAAUAGUACUUAUGAACAAGGUCUAUUAUACCCCGACCAUGGAACGUGAGCAGUUUGUUGAGAUUCUGAACGGCCUUGAAAUCUUUGAUAGAGAACUCGUUAGGAGAGGAACUCCAUUCUUCGGUGGUAAACAACCUGGAAUGGUGGAUCUGAUGAUAUGGCCGUGGUGCGAGCGAGCAGAUUUGAUCAGGAUUUUGAGGGGAGAUCAGUUUGUCCUUCCUCGUGAACGAAUACUCAGACUGCUGGAAUGGAGAAGUGCGAUGAAAGAAGACGAGGCUGUGAAAGGUAGUUAUUUAGACGGAGAAACACAUGCCAAGUUCAUACGCAGUAGGCAAGCUGGCUCAGCCCAAUACGACUUCCUUAUUGCACAAUGAGUGCCUUUUGCGACGAUGUACUACUGCUGAUAAUGAAAUAAUGUACUUAUGCAAUAUUUUAAUGAAAUGACAGGACCAUUUAUUUGUUGCUGAAUACUAAUACGACUGAUACCACCAUUCCACCUGGCACCCGCAAAAGCAGCCUUCUCUCACUGGGGUCUCGUGUUCAGCAACGAAUAAAUGACCGUGUAGAUUGCCCUGUAAAACUUAAAAUACAUGUAAUAAUAAAGUUGUAAAAAAGUAUCAAA
RNAcentral lists this unclassified non-coding RNA (980 nucleotides) under Neodiprion pinetum (white pine sawfly). RNAcentral's name for it is "pyrimidodiazepine synthase-like, transcript variant X3". Lineage: Eukaryota; Metazoa; Arthropoda; Insecta; Hymenoptera; Diprionidae. The record is from RNAcentral.